This 61-nucleotide transfer RNA is filed under the name Polygyra cereolus. Its description in RNAcentral is "tRNA-Lys". Lineage: Eukaryota; Metazoa; Mollusca; Gastropoda; Stylommatophora; Polygyridae. The record is from RNAcentral.
UUUUUUAUAGCUGAGUUAAAGCAUAAGAUUUUUAAUCUUAAGGCGGGUUACCCUUUGCGUU